RNAcentral lists this ribosomal RNA (482 nucleotides) under uncultured bacterium. RNAcentral describes it as "bacterial SSU rRNA". It matches the Rfam family "Bacterial small subunit ribosomal RNA", at positions 29 to 507 of the family's 1533-position model. The record is from RNAcentral.
AUUGAACGCUGGCGGCAUGCCUUACACCUGCAAGUCGAACGGUAACGCGGGGCAACCUGGCGACGAGUGGCGAACGGGUGAGUAAUAUAUCGGAACGUGCCCAGUAGUGGGGGAUAGCCCGGCGAAAGCCGGAUUAAUACCGCAUACGACCUGAGGGUGAAAGCGGGGGAUCGCAAGACCUCGCGCUAUUGGAGCGGCCGAUAUCAGAUUAGGUAGUUGGUGGGGUAAAGGCCUACCAAGCCGACGAUCUGUAGCUGGUCUGAGAGGACGACCAGCCACACUGGGACUGAGACACGGCCCAGACUCCUACGGGAGGCAGCAGUGGGGAAUUUUGGACAAUGGGCGCAAGCCUGAUCCAGCCAUGCCGCGUGCGGGAAGAAGGCCUUCGGGUUGUAAACCGCUUUUGUCAGGGAAGAAACGCUCUGGGUUAAUACCCUGGGGUAAUGACGGUACCUGAAGAAUAAGCACCGGCUAACUACGUG